GGGGGGACGCAGAUAACAAGAACGGAGCAAAAAAGGAUGACAGCAGAUCAGAUUAUAAAGGAAAGAAGAAAAAGAAGCAUAAGAGAGGGGGAAAAGGAUAAGGGAAUCCAAAUAUAAUAUACACUACGGAAAUAUAGCCAAAGAAAAAUUACCAAAGUACCUAGAAGGGAGGAUGAAAUGGAAAGACAGGAGAAUACUGGCAAGAUUCAGAUAUGGAAACGAGACCAAAGCAAAGAAAUACUGGAAGGAAGAGGGAGAAAAAAGAUGCAGACUAUGUAAAAGGAAUGAAGAAGACCUGAGGUAUUAUACCAUUUACCGUAAGAAACUUGAGAUAAAUCAUUUGAAUAUAACAUUCAAAUUUUUAAAACGGUUGCAUACUACAAUAUUUAGAAUCAUUAAUUUUAAAAACAAAUGGGGAUCAAUUGUUCAACACAGACGUGAUACAGAAAUAACAUAUUUAUAUUUUAUAUCUUAUGAUGUAACAAGUCUUUUUGCUCCUAAAAUAUAAGGUAAAAAUGGAUGAAAAGAUCAAUGUCAUAACAAAAGGAGUGGUACAAGCUUCAAUUAUAUCAUCUAUUUUAUCAGAUAUAUAUUAUAAUUUUAUAUUACAUAAGGCAACAAAUUUAGCAAUUGGUACAGUUAUAAAAUACGUAAAUGAUAUUUUAUAUAUUACA
This 674-nucleotide unclassified non-coding RNA is filed under the name Bombus terrestris (buff-tailed bumblebee). RNAcentral describes it as "misc RNA ENSBTSG00005037673.1". Lineage: Eukaryota; Metazoa; Arthropoda; Insecta; Hymenoptera; Apidae. The record is from RNAcentral.